RNAcentral lists this unclassified non-coding RNA (196 nucleotides) under uncultured Ascomycota. RNAcentral's name for it is "sequence contains ITS1". The record is from RNAcentral. Lineage: Eukaryota; Fungi; Ascomycota.
UCCAACCAAAACCAGCUGCGGUCGCGGCCCCCGGGGUUCUCUCUGGGUGGUAGGGGUAACACCCUCACGCGCCGUACGUCUGCAUCCUUUCUUUACGAGCACCUUCGUUCUCCUUCGGCGGGGCAACCUGCCGUUGGAACCAAACAAAACCUUUUUUUGCAUCUAGCAUUACCUGUUCUGAUACAAACAAUCGUUA